UAUUGAAUUGGCCAAAAUUUUGUUUGGGUUUUUCUGUAAUAUCUAAUGGAAAAACCCAAACAAACUUUUUUUGCCAACCCAAUA
RNAcentral lists this microRNA precursor (84 nucleotides) under Ovis aries (sheep). Its description in RNAcentral is "miRNA (ENSOARG00000022406.1)". The record is from RNAcentral. Lineage: Eukaryota; Metazoa; Chordata; Mammalia; Artiodactyla; Bovidae.